Molecule: ribosomal RNA, 465 nt
Filed under: Vreelandella stevensii
Lineage: Bacteria; Pseudomonadati; Pseudomonadota; Gammaproteobacteria; Oceanospirillales; Halomonadaceae
Description: partial 16S ribosomal RNA
Rfam family: Bacterial small subunit ribosomal RNA
Source: RNAcentral
CCUACGGCGGGCAGCAGUGGGGAAUAUUGGACAAUGGGCGAAAGCCUGAUCCAGCCAUGCCGCGUGUGUGAAGAAGGCCUUCGGGUUGUAAAGCACUUUCAGUGGGGAAGAAAGCCUUGGGGCUAAUACCCUCGAGGAAGGACAUCACCCACAGAAGAAGCACCGGCUAACUCCGUGCCAGCAGCCGCGGUAAUACGGAGGGUGCGAGCGUUAAUCGGAAUUACUGGGCGUAAAGCGCGCGUAGGCGGUCUGAUAAGCCGGUUGUGAAAGCCCCGGGCUCAACCUGGGAACGGCAUCCGGAACUGUCAGGCUAGAGUGCAGGAGAGGAAGGUAGAAUUCCCGGUGUAGCGGUGAAAUGCGUAGAGAUCGGGAGGAAUACCAGUGGCGAAGGCGGCCUUCUGGACUGACACUGACGCUGAGGUGCGAAAGCGUGGGUAGCAAACAGGAUUAGAUACCCCUGUAGUC